RNAcentral lists this transfer RNA (73 nucleotides) under Candidatus Vidania fulgoroideorum. RNAcentral describes it as "beta proteobacterium endosymbiont of Hyalesthes obsoletus HO1-V tRNA". It matches the Rfam family "tRNA". From Rfam's summary of the family: Transfer RNA (tRNA) molecules are approximately 80 nucleotides in length. Their secondary structure includes four short double-helical elements and three loops (D, anti-codon, and T loops). Further hydrogen bonds mediate the characteristic L-shaped molecular structure. tRNAs have two regions of fundamental functional importance: the anti-codon, which is responsible for specific mRNA codon recognition, and the 3' end, to which the tRNAs corresponding amino acid is attached (by aminoacyl-tRNA synthetases). tRNAs cope with the degeneracy of the genetic code in two manners: having more than one tRNA (with a specific anti-codon) for a particular amino acid; and 'wobble' base-pairing, i.e. permitting non-standard base-pairing at the 3rd anti-codon position. The record is from Rfam by way of RNAcentral. Lineage: Bacteria; Pseudomonadati; Pseudomonadota; Betaproteobacteria.
ACGAAAAUGGCGAAAUGGUAUACGCUUCAGAUUUAGAAUCUGAAUAUUAAGGGUUCAAGUCCCUUUUUUCGUA